GAUGAACGCUGGCGGCGUGCCUAAUACAUGCAAGUCGAGCGAACGGACGAGAAGCUUGCUUCUCUGAUGUUAGCGGCGGACGGGUGAGUAACACGUGGAUAACCUACCUAUAAGACUGGGGUAACUUCGGGAAACCGGGGCUAAUACCGGAUAAUAUUUUGAACCGCAUGGUUCAAAAGUGAAAGACGGUCUUGCUGUCACUUAUAGAUGGAUCCGCGCUGCAUUAGCUAGUUGGUAAGGUAACGGCUUACCAAGGCAACGAUGCAUAGCCGACCUGAGAGGGUGAUCGGCCACACUGGAACUGAGACACGGUCCAGACUCCUACGGGAGGCAGCAGUAGGGAAUCUUCCGCAAUGGGCGAAAGCCUGACGGAGCAACGCCGCGUGAGUGAUGAAGGUCUUCGGAUCGUAAAACUCUGUUAUUAGGGAAGAACAUAUGUGUAAGUAACUGUGCACAUCUUGACGGUACCUAAUCAGAAAGCCACGGCUAACUACGUG
This 497-nucleotide ribosomal RNA is filed under the name uncultured bacterium. RNAcentral's name for it is "partial 16S ribosomal RNA". It matches the Rfam family "Bacterial small subunit ribosomal RNA", at positions 28 to 507 of the family's 1533-position model. The record is from RNAcentral.